UUCCAUUUUGCAUCUUCAAAAACAUAUUCGUUCAUAAAUCUCCGUAGUCACCAAAGGAUCAAUACGAACCUAGGAGAUUAUAAUAACUAUUGCUGGAAUAUCAAUGAAUCUCAACUCGAUUUCCUUUGCAUAAGCGCAAUCCUUCAAGCUAUUUCGUAAGUGCUUCAGUUCACCUCAAUACCAAAACUCUUGUCUACCUAGUCAUAUCAAGGAUGCAAACCUUGAAAUAAACUUUACUACUUGAAAAGACACAAGGUUAUACUCAAGUUUUCUGUGGAAGAUUGAUUCAGCAAAAGAUAGGUAUGUG
Non-coding RNA from Cajanus cajan (pigeon pea), 307 nucleotides. The record is from RefSeq and is a predicted model, not a curated record. Lineage: Eukaryota; Viridiplantae; Streptophyta; Magnoliopsida; Fabales; Fabaceae.